AGCUCCAAUAGCGUAUAUUUAAGUUGUUGCAGUUAAAAAGCUCGUAGUUGGAUUUCGGGCGUGGAGGUUCGGUCCGCCGUUUCGGUGUGCACUGUCCGUCUGCGUCUUUCUGCCGGGGACGCGCUUCUGGCCUUAAUUGGCUGGGACGUGGAUUCGGCGAUGUUACUUUGAAAAAAUUAGAGUGUUCAAAGCAAGCUAAAGCUCUGAAUACAUUAGCAUGGAAUAACGCGAGAGGACUCGGUCCUUAUUUUGUUGGUCUUCAAGGAUUGAGUAAUGAUUAAGAGGGACAGUUGGGGGCAUUCGUAUUUCAUUGUCAGAGGUGAAAUUCUUGGAUUUAUGAAAGACGAACUUCUGCGAAAGCAUUUGCCAAGGAUGUUUUCAUUGAUCAAGAACGAAAGUA
Molecule: ribosomal RNA, 400 nt
Filed under: phytoplankton environmental sample
Lineage: Eukaryota
Description: partial small subunit ribosomal RNA
Rfam family: Eukaryotic small subunit ribosomal RNA
Source: RNAcentral